AGCGUUGCUCGGAAUCACUGGGCGUAAAGCGCACGUAGGCGGAUUGUUAAGUCAGGGGUGAAAUCCUGGAGCUCAACUCCAGAACUGCCUUUGAUACUGGCGAUCUUGAGUCCGGGAGAGGUGAGUGGAACUCCUAGUGUAG
Molecule: ribosomal RNA, 142 nt
Filed under: uncultured Alphaproteobacteria bacterium
Lineage: Bacteria; Pseudomonadati; Pseudomonadota; Alphaproteobacteria
Description: partial 16S ribosomal RNA
Rfam family: Bacterial small subunit ribosomal RNA
Source: RNAcentral